RNAcentral lists this small RNA (597 nucleotides) under Pan troglodytes (chimpanzee). RNAcentral's name for it is "retained intron". The record is from RNAcentral. Lineage: Eukaryota; Metazoa; Chordata; Mammalia; Primates; Hominidae.
AAACUAAAAAGCAGCAAAAAAGGGAGGAAAUUUUCAAGUUAAAGGAAAAGGCAGACAACACACCUAUGCUUUUUCAUAAUAAACAAGAGGAUAAUCAAAAGCAAAAAGAGGAACAAAGAAAGAAACAGAAAUUGGCAGUUGAAGCUUGGAAGAAACAGAAAAGUAUAGAAAUGUCAAUGAAAUGUGCUUCCCAGUUAAAAGAAGAAGAAGAGAAAGAGAAAAAACAUCAGAAAGAACGCCAGCGCCAGUUUAAGUUAAAAUUACUACUAGAAAGUUAUACCCAGCAGAAGAAAGAACAGGAAGAAUUUUUGAGGCUUGAAAAGGAGAUAAGGGAAAAGGCAGAAAAGGCAGAAAAAAGGAAAAAUGCUGCUGAUGAAAUUUCCAGAUUUCAAGAAAGAGAUUUACAUAAACUUGAAUUGAAAAUUCUAGAUAGACAGGCAAAGGAAGAUGAAAAGGCACAAAAACAAAGAAGACUGGCAAAAUUAAAAGAAAAGGUACUCUGCACGAGAUUAUUUUCAUUGUUAUUAUCCUAAUUCCUUGAUUUGUAAGGAUACUGACAUCAAAUCUAUUUCCUUUAUAUCUCACCUUAUUUCUAUA